This 253-nucleotide ribosomal RNA is filed under the name uncultured bacterium. RNAcentral describes it as "partial 16S ribosomal RNA". It matches the Rfam family "Bacterial small subunit ribosomal RNA", at positions 524 to 776 of the family's 1533-position model. The record is from RNAcentral.
UACGGGGGGGGCAAGCGUUGUUCGGAAUUACUGGGCGUAAAGGGCUCGUAGGCGGCCAACUAAGUCAGACGUGAAAUCCCUCGGCUUAACCGGGGAACUGCGUCUGAUACUGGAUGGCUUGAGAUUGGGAGAGGGAUGCGGAAUUCCAGGUGUAGCGGUGAAAUGCGUAGAUAUCUGGAGGAACACCGGUGGCGAAGGCGGCAUCCUGGACCAACACUGACGCUGAGGAGCGAAAGCAUGGGGAUCAAACAGG